This 253-nucleotide ribosomal RNA is filed under the name uncultured bacterium. RNAcentral describes it as "partial 16S ribosomal RNA". It matches the Rfam family "Bacterial small subunit ribosomal RNA", at positions 524 to 776 of the family's 1533-position model. The record is from RNAcentral.
UACGUAGGGCGCAAGCGUUAUCCGGAAUUAUUGGGCGUAAAGAGCUCGUAGGCGGUUUGUCGCGUCUGCCGUGAAAGUCCGGGGCUCAACCCCGGGUCUGCAGUGGGUACGGGCAGACUAGAGUGCAGUAGGGGAGACUGGAAUUCCUGGUGUAGCGGUGAAAUGCGCAGAUAUCAGGAGGAACACCGAUGGCGAAGGCAGGUCUCUGGGCUGUAACUGACGCUGAGGAGCGAAAGCAUGGGGAGCGAACAGG